CUGUCACUUCCCACCCCCUUCCUUAGGUCCACGUGCCUGCGUAGCCUGGGGUGGGGGUGCGGUUUUGUUUGUGGUAUAAAGCCCAUUUGUGUGCACAGCGGGGGAGGGGUUGUCACAGCACCAGGGAGAGACAGCAUUCUAACUACCAGACCCAGCCACCUCCCUCCCCGGGGAGCCCAGAUCUAGGGCGCCUUUUGUCACUGAAGAGGACACUGACCCUUAGCAGAGAGGCCUGGGCAGGAGGGGCGAGGGGUGACUGUGGAAACAAUUACUGUCACCAUGAGAAAAAGGCGGGACUCCAGAGAAAGAGAGGGGAGGGGCCAGAGAGAGGCCAUGUGACCAGCGGGGUGAGGGGGUCCCGGGGCUUCCCGCCCACCCGACAAAGGGUCGCUGCAGGUCCGACGGGACCGGGUGAAACCUGCCACGGUGGAGUUAGCCAGUGGAGCGUGGAGGCUGCGUGGCGUCUCAGGAAUUUGAGCUGUUGAGCGCUCCCCCACGGGACUAGAAAUCCCGAUCGGAAUAAAAGUUUCCGUCUUGAAGUCGUUCCAAAGCUCCAUCCAUGCCAUCUAGGAAGAAUAAAAGAUGUAAAAUGUAA
Peromyscus leucopus (white-footed mouse) is the source of this 595-nucleotide long non-coding RNA. RefSeq lists it as uncharacterized. The record is from RefSeq and is a predicted model, not a curated record. NCBI's taxonomy places the organism in Eukaryota, Metazoa, Chordata, Mammalia, Rodentia, Cricetidae. The transcript is spliced from 2 exons.